GACGAACGCUGGCGGCGUGCUUAACACAUGCAAGUCGAACGGAAAGGCCCUGCUUUUGUGGGGUGCUCGAGUGGCGAACGGGUGAGUAACACGUGAGUAACCUGCCCUUGACUUUGGGAUAACUUCAGGAAACUGGGGCUAAUACCGGAUAGGAGCUCCUGCUGCAUGGUGGGGGUUGGAAAGUUUCGGCGGUUGGGGAUGGACUCGCGGCUUAUCAGCUUGUUGGUGGGGUAGUGGCUUACCAAGGCUUAGACGGGUAGCCGGCCUGAGAGGGUGACCGGCCACAAUAGGCCUACGGGACGGAGCAGUCGCCUACGGGAGGCAGCAGGGGAGAAUCUUGCACAGUGGGCGGAAGUCUGAGGCAGCAACGCCGCGUGCGGGAUGACGGCCUUCGGGUUAUGAACCGCUUUCGACUGUGACGAAGCGUGAGUGACGGUAAUGGGUAAAGAAGCACCGGCUAACUACGUG
RNAcentral lists this ribosomal RNA (468 nucleotides) under uncultured bacterium. RNAcentral's name for it is "partial 16S ribosomal RNA". It matches the Rfam family "Bacterial small subunit ribosomal RNA", at positions 28 to 507 of the family's 1533-position model. The record is from RNAcentral.